CUUAUCUAUUUAAUUCUGGUUGUAGAAGGGAUGAAAGCAAGACUACAUAAGAAUCGUCUGUAUAGUUAGUAUAAAGGGGAGCUUUAUGGGGUCCUUAGUAGCUAGAUCUUAUUUUUCGGAGAAAUCCAGAGUGGGUUGUUUUCUAAGAAGUGGUGAAUACUCAGUGCCAGCAUCCGCGGUUAUUCUGUUAGCUUUGAUCUUCGGCGAUAGGUGUAAAUAAUUUAGGGAUUAAUAGCCGGUUGGGGGUAGAAUCUUACUGGUGUUGAGACAAGUCUCUAUAUGUUUUAUGGCUUUUUUUUGAAGGGGAUUAGAUACCCCUGUAAUAAAGUGUAAGUUUUGUUCCUUAGUAUAAACUAAAAGGAUUUGGCAGCCGACGAGGUUCCUCCGGGGGAGCGUGUAUCGUAAAAGACAGUCCGCUUAAGAGUUAACCCUGGCUAGUUUAGUUAGUGUAUAUCCGGUUUAAUAUUUGUGGUUAGUGCGAGUGUAACGAUUUGUUUAAUCCAGGUCUAUGUGCUGCUAAUGUUGGGGGGCUUAUGCGCUACAUUAUUAAAUGUGUUGGUGGGGGGCAUUGCCAAUUAUGUUUAGGACUCGGAAGUAGGCGAUAAGAUAGGUUUUUUUGUCGAAGAGGAUUUAGUUGGGGUACACACCGCCCGUCACCCAGGGCGUUAGCUGUGGUAAGUCGUAACAUGGUAAUGCUAGGGGAACCUGGUGUUAGUUGAUUCUUCUGUUAUAAGGGGGGUU
Molecule: ribosomal RNA, 741 nt
Filed under: Echinostoma sp. JM-2019
Lineage: Eukaryota; Metazoa; Platyhelminthes; Trematoda; Plagiorchiida; Echinostomatidae
Description: small subunit ribosomal RNA
Source: RNAcentral